AGAGAGAGACAUGCGCGCAUAUCAAUAAGCGGAGGAAAAGAAACUAACAAGGAUUCCCUAGUAACGGCGAGUGAAGCGGGAAGAGCUCAAAUUUGAAAUCUUAAAGGGUUUCCCUUUACGAAUUGUAGUUUAAAGAAGUGUUUUCUGUUGAGGUUUUGGUAAAAGUUCUUUGGAAUAGGACAUCAUAGAGGGUGAGAAUCCCGUAUUUGACCUUUACUUUCAACUUUGUGAUACACUUUCAAAGAGUCGGAUUGUUUGGGAAUGCAGUCCAAAAUGGGUGGUAAAUUUCAUCUAAAGCUAAAUAUUGGCGAGAGACCGAUAGCGAACAAGUACCGUGAGGGAAAGAUGAAAAGAACUUUGAAAAGAGAGUUAAACAGUACGUGAAAUUGUCAAAAGGGAAGCGUUUGACACCAGUGUUGUUUUUCUGAAAAUCAAUUAAAGAACUGUUUAUGCUAAGCUGUUUAGACUUUAUCAGCUAUCUGUUUAGUUUUGAGCUUUUCUUUAAUGCACUUUUCAGUUAACAAGUCAACAUCAAUUUCUUUUGCUGUAAAAAAGCUUGAGGAAGGUGGCUUGAGAUUCGUCUUAAGUGUUUAUAGCCUCUUGCCUAUGCAGUCGGAGAGAUUGAGGUCUGCAGCGUAGAUCCUUCGGGGCUAAAUGCAUUUGUGCUAAGUUAUAGCAUUUUAUAGACAACUUGUUGACUAUGAUUUGUCUUGUAGCUUACUCGCUUAUGUUAUUUUACCUACGCUUAGGAUGUUGAGCGCAUGUCUCUCUCU
This 773-nucleotide ribosomal RNA is filed under the name uncultured Neocallimastigales. RNAcentral's name for it is "partial large subunit ribosomal RNA". It matches the Rfam family "Eukaryotic large subunit ribosomal RNA", at positions 23 to 616 of the family's 3401-position model. The record is from RNAcentral. Lineage: Eukaryota; Fungi; Neocallimastigomycota; Neocallimastigomycetes; Neocallimastigales.